GGGGGAUAUUGCACAAUGGAGGAAACUCUGAUGCAGCAACGCCGCGUGAGUGAUGAAGGAUUUCGGUCUGUAAAGCUCUGUUGUUUAUGACGAACGUGCAGUGUGUGAACAAUGCAUUGCAAUGACGGUAGUAAACGAGGAAGCCACGGCUAACUACGUGCCAGCAGCCGCGGUAAUACGUAGGUGGCGAGCGUUGUCCGGAAUUAUUGGGCGUAAAAAGCAUGUAGGCGGCUUAAUAAGUCGAGCGUGAAAAUGCGGGGGUCAACCCCGUAUGGCGCUGGAAACUGUUAGGCUUGAGUGCAGGAGAGGAAAGGGGAAUUCCCAGUGUAGCGGUGAAAUGCGUAGAUAUUGGGAGGAACACCAGUGGCGAAGGCGCCUUUCUGGACUGUGUCUGACGCUGAGAUGCGAAAGCCAGGGUAGCGAACG
Molecule: ribosomal RNA, 426 nt
Filed under: uncultured Phascolarctobacterium sp.
Lineage: Bacteria; Bacillati; Bacillota; Negativicutes; Acidaminococcales; Acidaminococcaceae
Description: bacterial SSU rRNA
Rfam family: Bacterial small subunit ribosomal RNA
Source: RNAcentral